Molecule: long non-coding RNA, 787 nt
Filed under: Lonchura striata (white-rumped munia)
Lineage: Eukaryota; Metazoa; Chordata; Aves; Passeriformes; Estrildidae
Description: domestica (Bengalese finch) lncRNA (ENSLSDG00000009633.1)
Source: RNAcentral
GCUCAGAGGACACGCGAAGUUGUGAAAGCUUCGUGGGGAUUACGUGCCUGGCUCCUCUCUGGCCUCCCUCGCAAGGAGCACUCCCGUGCCCGCGGCGCUGCCCGGCGCGCUCCCGGGGCCGCCGCCGGCCCGCAGCCGGUGUUAGCGGGGCCGGGCUCGGGGCUGCCGCGGCCCAGCGCAGCCCGGCCCCGCCCGGGGCCCUUCCACCGAGCCCCUCCGGCCCCGCCGCACCCCCUACCUGCCCCGGCCCGGCGGCGGAAGCGGAAGCGGCGGCGGGAGCGGCGGAAGCGGCGGGAGCGGCGGCGGAAGCGGCGGGAGCGGCGGCGGAAGCGGCGGGAGCGGCGGCGGGAGCGGGCGGAGCGAGCGGAGCCAUGUCGGGCCGGGAGGGUAAGGCCGGGCCCGGGGCCGCCGCCCGCCCGGCCCCGCCCGGCGCUCACUGUCUCCUCUGUCUUUGCAGGCGGCAAGAAGAAGCCGCUGAAGCAGCCGAAGAAGCAGACGAAGGACCUGGAUGAGACGGAUCUGGCAUUCAAACAAAAACAGAAGGAGGAGCAAAAGAAACUUGAGGAGAUGAAAGCAAAAGCUGCUGGUAAAGGGCCCCUGGCCAGUGGUGGAAUAAAGAAGUCUGGCAAAAAGUAGCUUGAUGAAACCACCAGGCUAAGAAGUGAUCAAGUUACUCAAUGGACCUGCAGACUUCAGAGAGUCUUGAAAACAGUCUGUCAUUUGGGAAACAUUGUACAUUUUGUUUAGUCACAAUAAAUCCUUUUUGUUAAGAUGUGAUAUUUUCUCU